This 324-nucleotide ribosomal RNA is filed under the name Granofilosea sp. RNAcentral describes it as "SSU rRNA". The stretch from base 111 to 324 matches the Rfam family "Eukaryotic small subunit ribosomal RNA", at positions 741 to 955 of the family's 1831-position model. Lineage: Eukaryota; Cercozoa. The record is from RNAcentral.
GAUUUCUGGUAUGGUGCGCUUGGUCCGCCCCGUUUUAGGUGUGUGAGUACCGAUGCGCGCCUACCAUCCUUCUGGGGAGUACGUCUACCCUUCACUGGGCCGGGCGUACGACCUAGAUCGUUUACUUUGAAAAAAUUAGAGUGUUUAAAGCAGGCAUUUUGCUCUGAAUACAUUAGCAUGGAAUAAUAAGAUAGGACUUUGGUUCUAUUUUGUUGGUUUCUAGAACUCGAGUAAUGAUUGAUAGGGAUAGUUGGGGGUGCUAGUAUUCAGCGGCCAGAGGUGAAAUUCUUGGAUUCGCUGAAGACUAACUUAUGCGAAAGCAUU